GACGAACGCUGGCGGCGUGCCUAAUACAUGCAAGUUGAGCGAUGAAGAUUGGUGCUUGCACCAAUUUGAAGAGCAGCGAACGGGUGAGUAACGCGUGGGGAAUCUGCCUUUGAGCGGGGGACAACAUUUGGAAACGAAUGCUAAUACCGCAUAACAACUUUAAACAUAAGUUUUAAGUUUGAAAGAUGCAAUUGCAUCACUCAAAGAUGAUCCCGCGUUGUAUUAGCUAGUUGGUGAGGUAAAGGCUCACCAAGGCGAUGAUACAUAGCCGACCUGAGAGGGUGAUCGGCCACAUUGGGACUGGGACACGGCCCAAACUCCUACGGGAGGCAGCAGUAGGGAAUCUUCGGCAAUGGACGAAAGUCUGACCGAGCAACGCCGCGUGAGUGAAGAAGGGUUUCGGAUCGUAAAACUCUGUUGGUAGAGAGGAACGUUGGUGAGAGUGGAAAGCUCAUCAAGUGACGGUAACUACCCAGAAAGGGACGGCUAACUACGUG
RNAcentral lists this ribosomal RNA (497 nucleotides) under uncultured bacterium. Its description in RNAcentral is "partial 16S ribosomal RNA". It matches the Rfam family "Bacterial small subunit ribosomal RNA", at positions 28 to 507 of the family's 1533-position model. The record is from RNAcentral.